Molecule: RNA transcript, 2833 nt
Organism: Scaptodrosophila lebanonensis
Lineage: Eukaryota; Metazoa; Arthropoda; Insecta; Diptera; Drosophilidae
Exons: 5
Source: RefSeq, a predicted model, not a curated record
AUUUCACUUGCAAACAUUUGUUUUAAUUGUGAAAAUGUGUGCGCCGCGUAUUAAAAAUUAAAGCUGAAGAAAACAUUUGCCGCCCUAAGUUUUUUUAAAAAUACAUUAAAACAAUAUGCUUAAAACAGUUCUACUUCUCUAUGCCAUAACUCAGGCGUACCUCUGCCUUGGUGUUCAGGGCAAAAGUUUCUUUGGUGUUGGUCAUCGCAUUGAUGGCGAUCAGUUGUUGCUCAAGGACGAACAGCAUUCACGUCCUGGCAGCAGCACUGAGCAACCCCGUGUAGUCUUCAACUAUGAAAUAGCCGAGCCAAUUAACUACAUCGAAAUCACGUCGGAGGAAAAUAUUCUGGCCGAGGUGAAGUUCAGUUAUGUUAAUGAACUGGUGGUGGGCAUGGUGACGGUUGUUCCCAGCAAUAACCACAGCCAGCCAGCGGCCUUUGUUGUGAGGAUUUCAAUUUAUGGCUUCAAUGACACCAUUCUGAAUAUGAAUCCUGCACUCUUCCUCAACCGUGACAAGCAAUUCGAGGGCUAUAUGAACUCAGAUGAUGACACCGAGUAUGCUGCAAACAGUGGCGAACUAGUUGAAGCCUACGCCAAUUCUGGCAGUGAUGUACUGGAAGUGGACAUCGACGAGGAUGAUAAUGAGGAUACGACAACUGAUGCGAGUGGGGAGUUUGAGGCAAAUGAUAAGAUCAUAGAGGUGGGCAAGCGACAGAACGGUGACAAAUUGAUAUUCAAAACCUUCCAAACCUCUGAAAAUGAGGAUAAUGCUAUUAACCAUACGGUCACUUUUUAUUACGUGGAUAGUGAUUACAUAACCUACAUCAAGUUUGUCAUAUUCGAUCACUUUGAAACGAAGCACAGCACAGCAGUGGACUAUAAGCCGCCUUUGGCGGAAUAUACGCACUUCUCGCCAAACACGCUUAAGGCCGUCAUCACGGAUUCGAGCUCGGUGUUCGCGAAGAUGUACGUUUACGGUUAUCCCGCAAAGGAGGUGCCAAAGAGCUAUCAGGCCUUUCUGCCACCACCGCAUUGGCAACGUGCCCUGACCCCAGGUGAGCAGCCGCCGCUCACACCACUGCAACGGAUUCAGUUGCUCCUGCUCACGGGCAAGACAACGAAGGCGCCUACAUCGGGGGAGCACGAUGACGACGAUGAUGAGGACGAUGGCGAACCGGCUACAAUUAGUGCGCGUGACAUGGAGGCUGAUCACGAUUUGGAGUCGAUGCAGACACGUGCGAGCGAUGCGGCACUGGAGCAACUCGAUCAGCGUCUGUGGACAUUUAUAGGCAUGUUGCUGCUCUUGUUGCACAAUUGAAGAGCGGGGAGAGCGGUACUCUGCAUAUUGUGUAUAUGUGUUGAUGCAAGUUAAUCCAUUGAAAGCUUUAUCUGUACUCCCAAAACACAGAUACCACUGACGGCAAGAGAGGGUAGAGGGGUAGGAGCGGCAUACACUUCACACUCUUUAGUCGUUGUCCAUAUGAAAUUGAAAAAGUUAUCGAGAAAGUAGGUCAUGGCGCGUUUGACGACAUGCCCAUGUCCGUUAAGUUCGUCCUGCCUGCCCCGUCCUACCAUACCCUGCACUGAGUUUUAGUUCGUGAACAGAACGACCGCAUGGCAUUGAUGGCGACUCCCUUAGCAAAUUAUGUAUGGGUGUGUUUGUGAAUACUUACGCCUGUGUGUGAGUUGGUAAAUUAUCUGUUUUGGUGGUUGCUGUUGUUGUUGUGGGUGGUUGAUUUGGCAGGCAUUGGCCAAAAUGUGCCGUCAUGGGCACAAACAAAAGCAAAAGCGAAAAGAAAAGAACGCUGGAAAGCAAAAAGGACCCAGAAGCCAGAAACUCUGCAGCUGACGACACCAAGGCUCUUCUCGUUGCCUUCCACAUACACGUACAUGUAGUAUAUAUCUGUAAGUGCGUGUGUGUGUGUGGAUAAAUGCGUAUCGUGGUGUUUAUUUGCUGCCAUGAUGUUGUUAUUGUUGCUGUUAUUGCUGCUAUUUUGCUAGAGUAGCACAAACGUGCCUUUUUCUACAGACCUUAUACGAUAUGCGCCGCCGCCUUACGUCGCACAAAAAUGUAGAAAUUUAAAUCAAAAUAACUGGCAGACAGCAGCAACAACAAGGACAACAGCUGAGCAAGUGAUUUAUGUUAACAGGCACACAAACUCUCACACAAAUGUACGUAUGCACGCUCUUUAAGCAAACAAAUUAAUUAAAACAACGAAGAAGUUGAAAUCACAGCAAAGUUUGCCAUGAAACUAAAUCUGUUUGAAAACCAAAAAGUUCUCUUUUCAUCUGCUGAUCAAAAAUGUGUAAUCUUUAUUUAAAAUCUAAUAAAAGGAACUUUUAAUUGAUGAAUGAAAUCGUUGCAAAUGUGAGAAACCUCAUCACCUGUUGGUAUGAAAAGUUAAAUUGUAAAUACAAAGAUGCUUCAAAGCGUUAAAAUAUCAAUUAAAUACAUCAAAUAACUUCAGAAAUGACAGAUGUUUGCAAAGUAAUGGUAAUGCUCAACUGAAACAAAACGUGUAUAAAAAGUCUCUGCUUGUAAAUAUUAUAUUAUGAAAUAUUUCCACAAUAUUCUAUUGUAAAGCUGUUGUAUGUUAUUGUUGGAUAUUACAAGUACGUUUGUUUUGCCUUUUAAUUAAAACCAACACGGCCACACUAACUUAAACCUAUAAGUAAGAAAGAUAUGUAGGACACGCAGAACGAAUUAAGGCAACUAUGAAUAAAGUAAUAAAACAUAAUACACAGCGGCCUAUUUCGGCGACUAAAAUACCCAUUUAAGAUUAGUACUGUAUUACUACAUUUUUUAAUAAAAAUUUAUGUUUUUUUUGCGUUU